This 642-nucleotide ribosomal RNA is filed under the name uncultured actinomycete. Its description in RNAcentral is "bacterial SSU rRNA". It matches the Rfam family "Bacterial small subunit ribosomal RNA", at positions 232 to 885 of the family's 1533-position model. Lineage: Bacteria; Bacillati; Actinomycetota; Actinomycetes; Actinomycetales. The record is from RNAcentral.
CGCGGCCUAUCAGCUUGUUGGUGAGGUAACGGCUCACCAAGGCGACGACGGGUAGUUGGCGUGAGAGCGCGACCAACCACACUGGGACUGAGACACGGCCCAGACUCCUACGGGAGGCAGCAGUGGGGAAUCUUGGGCAAUGGGCGCAAGCCUGACCCAGCGACGCCGCGUGGGGGAUGAAGGCCUUCGGGUUGUAAACCUCUUUCAGCGGGGACGAAGCGAAAGUGACGGUACCCGCAGAAGAAGCCCCGGCUAACUACGUGCCAGCAGCCGCGGUAAGACGUAGGGGGCGAGCGUUGUCCGGAUUUAUUGGGCGUAAAGCGCGCGCAGGCGGCCGAGCAAGUCGGAUGUGAAAACCCGGGGCUCAACCCCGGGCUGUCAUUCGAUACUGCCCGGCUCGAGGCAGGUAGGGGAGAUUGGAAUUCCCGGUGUAGCGGUGAAAUGCGCAGAUAUCGGGAGGAACACCGGUGGCGAAGGCGGAUCUCUGGGCCUGUCCUGACGCUCAUGCGCGAAAGCUGGGGGAGCGAACGGGAUUAGAUACCCCGGUAGUCCCAGCCGUAAACGUUGGGUGCUAGGUGUGGGGAGCAUCAACCCUCUCCGUGCCGUCGCUAACGCAUUAAGCACCCCGCCUGGGGAGUACGG